CAGGGGGUGCAAACGUUGCUCGGAAUUAUUGGGCGUAAAGCGCGCGUAGGCGGCCACUUAAGUCGGAUGUGAAAGCCCCUGGCUCAACUGGGGAAGUGCACCCGAAACUGAAUGGCUUGAAUGCAAAAGAGGGUCGCGGAAUUCCCGGUGUAGAGGUGAAAUUCGUAGAUAUCGGGAGGAACACCGGUGGCGAAGGCGGCGACCUGGGUUGACAUUGACGCUGAGGCGCGAAAGCGUGGGGAGCAAACAGGAUUAGAUACCCUGGUAGUCCACGCCGUAAACGAUGGGUGCUAGAUGUUUCUGGUAUUGACCCCGGAGGCGUCGUAGCUAACGCGUUAAGCACCCCGCCUGGGAAGUACGGCCGCAAGGCUA
Molecule: ribosomal RNA, 372 nt
Filed under: uncultured organism
Description: bacterial SSU rRNA
Rfam family: Bacterial small subunit ribosomal RNA
Source: RNAcentral